RNAcentral lists this ribosomal RNA (526 nucleotides) under bacterium 302. RNAcentral describes it as "bacterial SSU rRNA". It matches the Rfam family "Bacterial small subunit ribosomal RNA", at positions 338 to 874 of the family's 1533-position model. The record is from RNAcentral.
CCUACGGGAGGCAGCAGUGGGGAAUAUUGCACAAUGGGCGAAAGCCUGAUGCAGCGACGCCGCGUGAGGGAUGACGGCCUUCGGGUUGUAAACCUCUUUCAGCAGGGAAGAAGCGAAAGUGACGGUACCUGCAGAAGAAGCGCCGGCUAACUACGUGCCAGCAGCCGCGGUAAUACGUAGGGCGCGAGCGUUGUCCGGAAUUAUUGGGCGUAAAGAGCUCGUAGGCGGUCUGUCGCGUCGGAUGUGAAAGCCCGGGGCUUAACCCCGGGUCUGCAUUCGAUACGGGCAGACUAGAGUGUGGUAGGGGAGAUCGGAAUUCCUGGUGUAGCGGUGAAAUGCGCAGAUAUCAGGAGGAACACCGGUGGCGAAGGCGGAUCUCUGGGCCAUUACUGACGCUGAGGAGCGAAAGCGUGGGGAGCGAACAGGAUUAGAUACCCUGGUAGUCCACGCCGUAAACGGUGGGAACUAGGUGUUGGCGACAUUCCACGUCGUCGGUGCCGCAGCUAACGCAUUAAGUUCCCCGCCU